UUGUUUGUUUGCUUUUUGGCCUUGAAUGUUUGUCCCUAAUAUUUUAUUAACUACGCACUUGCAUUCAGAUAUCGCCGAUCAAAUUUAUUCGUUCAUAGUGUAUUAUUUUACGUUUUUUGAUUAAGUUAGGCCUGCCAAUUGAUAUUUUAUCGUGUGUUUUUCUAUGUUGUGAUGUUAUGCUAUUGUUUCAGAAAAAGGGAGAAGGUUUGGAUCCAUUAAAACGUUUAAUCCCGCUGCAAAUGUUUGCACCUGUCCUAAGUCGGGAAUCUGAUGUACAGUAGUUGUCGUUUGUUUAUGUAAUUUAUACGUGUUUCUCGUUUCUCGUUUUUUUAUAUAGAUUAGACCGUUGGUUUUCCCGUUUGAAUGGUUUUACACUAGUAAUUUUGGGGCCCUUUAUAGCUUGUUGUUCGGUGUUGAAGGCCGUACAUUGACCUAUAAUGGUUUACUUUUUU
This 452-nucleotide long non-coding RNA is filed under the name Mytilus galloprovincialis (Mediterranean mussel). Lineage: Eukaryota; Metazoa; Mollusca; Bivalvia; Mytilida; Mytilidae. The record is from RNAcentral.